RNAcentral lists this ribosomal RNA (497 nucleotides) under uncultured bacterium. Its description in RNAcentral is "partial 16S ribosomal RNA". It matches the Rfam family "Bacterial small subunit ribosomal RNA", at positions 28 to 507 of the family's 1533-position model. The record is from RNAcentral.
GAUGAACGCUGGCGGCGUGCCUAAUACAUGCAAGUCGAGCGAACGGACGAGGAGCUUGCUCCUCUGACUUUAGCGGCGGACGGGUGAGUAACACGUGGAUACCCUACCUAUAAGACUGGGAUAACUUCGGGAAACCGGAGCUAAUACCGGAUAAUAUUUUGAACCGCAUGGUUCAAUAGUGAAAGACGGUUUUGCUGUCACUUAUAGAUGGAUCCGCGCCGCAUUAGCUAGUUGGUAAGGUAACGGCUUACCAAGGCAACGAUGCGUAGCCGACCUGAGAGGGUGAUCGGCCACACUGGAACUGAGACACGGUCCAGACUCCUACGGGAGGCAGCAGUAGGGAAUCUUCCGCAAUGGGCGAAAGCCUGACGGAGCAACGCCGCGUGAGUGAUGAAGGUCUUCGGAUCGUAAAACUCUGUUAUUAGGGAAGAACAAAUGUGUAAGUAACUAUGCACGUCUUGACGGUACCUAAUCAGAAAGCCACGGCUAACUACGUG